This is a long non-coding RNA of Astatotilapia calliptera (eastern happy), 1006 nucleotides long. Lineage: Eukaryota; Metazoa; Chordata; Actinopteri; Cichliformes; Cichlidae. The record is from Ensembl.
GACGAGGUAUGUGACGUGAAUGAAAACCUAGUGAGGUUCUAAGGUCAAUGACCAGUUAGAGUUUGUUACUGCAGUGCAUAAUAAUUCCUGGGGGGUUUGUUUGAUGAGAGCAUCAUUAAUUUGUCUGAUUUUAAUGUUUACGGAUUAUCACAGGUGAUUACAGCCAAGGAGGAAUAUGUGCCCAACUUUUAUUUGAACUAAUAUAAGGAUAUAUAAAGGCUCUGUUAACAUUAUGAAGCAAGUCAUGCUGACCUUCUUUCCUUUUUUCAGUGCAUCAUGCGUUGCCUACAACACCAGGUGAAAGUGAGGCCAAGCAUCAGGAAACAGAGAGCUGCAUUCAAGAGAGUGAAAAUGAGGGACAGCAGAUGUUUCCAUAUAAAUUGGCAGAAUUUGAGUAAGCUGUUGUCUAAGGGUUAAAGAAAUCCUUCAUUCUAGAUGUUGUUUAGGAUAUUGUUUCGAUGCAGGUUUCCAAUUUGCAUGUUUGUUUGUUUGGGUUUUUUUUGGGGGGGGUUGUAUGUUUGGGUUUUUUUUUUUUUUUUUUUUUUUUUUGUUGUUGUUGAAUGACUGCAACUUUAGGAUUUACAUUUAAUCUUUCUUUUUUUUUAAUGAUGUAUGGUGAGAAAUUCUUCAAGGCUGACAUGUUUUAUGAUUUCUAAUAUCUCUUGUCUACUUAGCCCUCUUUUUCUGGAGGAAGAUGAAGCUCUUGAAGAAGCAAUUCAGCAUAGCCUCCUAGAAGAGUCUGAUAGACUGAGUCAAGUGAUGAUUUAGAAUCAUAUAGUCGCUAUUCCCAUGAAAUUCAGUACGUCUCAACAUGUUAAAUAAAACUUCUCUAUUGACUCGAUCAAUGCUCUCCUUAAGAGACAUCAUUUGAUUUUCCUCCUCUUCUUGUUUCUCCUUCUUAUUUCUUAAAUAUAUAUAUCUACUUACAUUUUCAUUGUAUUUCAUAUUCUUAGCAUGAUUUAAUUCUCUCGCUUUAAAUUUAAAAAAUUUACACAUGCGUUGUUUA